UAACACGUGGAGAACCUGCCCCCUCCCCCGGGAUAGCCGCCCGAAAGGACGGGUAAUACCGGAUACCCCCGGGUGCCGCAUGGCGCCCGGGCUAAAGCCCCGACGGGAGGGGAUGGCUCCGCGGCCCAUCAGGUAGACGGCGGGGUGACGGCCCACCGUGCCGACAACGGGUAGCCGGGUUGAGAGACCGACCGGCCAGAUUGGGACUGAGACACGGCCCAGACUCCUACGGGAGGCAGCAGUGGGGAAUCUUGCGCAAUGGGGGCAACCCUGACGCAGCGACGCCGCGUGCGGGACGGANGCCNUCGGGUCGUAAACCGCUUUCAGCAGGGAAGAGACGAGACUGUACCUGCAGAAGAAGCCCCGGCUAACUACGUGCCAGCAGCCGCGGUAAUACGUAGGGGGCNNAGCGUUAUCCGGAUUCAUUGGGCGUAAAGCGCGCGUAGGCGGCCCGGCAGGCCGGGGGUCGAAGCGGGGGGCUCAACCCCCCGAAGCCCCCGGAACCUCCGCGGCUUGGGUCCGGUAGGGGAGGGUGGAACACCCGGUGUAGCGGUGGAAUGCGCAAAUAUCGGGUGGAACACCGGUGGGCGAAGGCGGCCCUCUGGGCCCGAAACCGACGCUUGAGGCGCGAAA
This 633-nucleotide ribosomal RNA is filed under the name uncultured bacterium. RNAcentral describes it as "bacterial SSU rRNA". It matches the Rfam family "Bacterial small subunit ribosomal RNA", at positions 111 to 758 of the family's 1533-position model. The record is from RNAcentral.